AGCCUUCUAUAUCUGUGUUGAGAUUUCGUCAGUGAUCAACCCAUUCGAGCUGAAGCAACUCCCCAAAUAAGUGAAGUG
RNAcentral lists this microRNA precursor (78 nucleotides) under Trichobilharzia regenti. RNAcentral's name for it is "mir-3492 microRNA precursor family". It matches the Rfam family "mir-3492 microRNA precursor family". Lineage: Eukaryota; Metazoa; Platyhelminthes; Trematoda; Strigeidida; Schistosomatidae. The record is from Rfam by way of RNAcentral.